RNAcentral lists this long non-coding RNA (537 nucleotides) under Nicotiana benthamiana. RNAcentral's name for it is "long non-coding RNA (NBEN_LNC011616)". Lineage: Eukaryota; Viridiplantae; Streptophyta; Magnoliopsida; Solanales; Solanaceae. The record is from RNAcentral.
UUCAAAACUCUCAAGCCAAACUAAUUUGGAUUUAUGUUGAAUAGGCGCAAUAAAGAGAUAAACUCAUUUCUACCACAAAGUUUUGAAUUGUAGAGCGAACUUAUGCUUCUUCUCCCUUUGACCUUAUUCCUCCAUCUUGACUAGCCUCACCUUGGACCCAGUUGUACCAUCUCUUCAGCUGACAAUCCAUAGUCUGGUGCAACCCCACAAUAUAAUGCCCAUAUGCUAACAUCCAAUUGGUUCAGUUUCUUUAAUUAAAAACAAAAAAAAUUAGUUCAGUCUCCUCAUUCCUGACUAUCUAUAAAUAAUGACUUUAACCGCUCUUAGAAAAGGCUUCGAUAAUGCAGGGAAUCAACUUAAGAAAUAACAACAACAAUAACUAUUCAGUAUAGUCCCACAAAGUAAGGUCUGGGAAACAGCUUUCUAAUGGUCCUGGAAGAUCUCGAACCUGCAACCUUUGUGUUAUUAGCACGACGCUCUAACCAACUUGAGAAAUAAGCAUGAAAAAAUAUCGACAAGUCAUGAGUCAUGAACACG